AAAUCAGUUAUCGUUUAUUUGAUAGUACCUUACUACUUGGAUAACCGUGGUAAUUCUAGAGCUAAUACAUGCUAAAAACCCCGACUUCGGAAGGGGUGUAUUUAUUAGAUAAAAAGCCAAUGCCCUCCGGGGCUCUUUGGUGAUUCAUAGUAACUUAACGGAUCGCAUGGCCUUGCGCCGGCGACGGUUCAUUCAAAUUUCUGCCCUAUCAACUUUCGAUGGUAAGGUAUUGGCUUACCAUGGUUUCAACGGGUAACGGGGAAUUAGGGUUCGAUUCCGGAGAGGGAGCCUGAGAAACGGCUACCACAUCCAAGGAAGGCAGCAGGCGCGCAAAUUACCCAAUCCCGACACGGGGAGGUAGUGACAAUAAAUACUGAUACAGGGCUCUUUUGGGUCUUGUAAUCGGAAUGAGUACAAUUUAAACCCCUUAACGAGGAACAAUUGGAGGGCAAGUCUGGUGCCAGCAGCCGCGGUAAUUCCAGCUCCAAUAGCGUAUAUUAAAGUUGUUGCAGUUAAAAAGCUCGUAGUUGAACCUUGGGCCUGGCUGGCCGGUCCGCCUCACCGCGUGUACUGGUCGGCCGGGCCUUUCCUUCUGGAGAACCCCAUGCCCUUCACUGGGUGUGCGGGGGAACCAGGACUUUUACUGUGAAAAAAUUAGAGUGUUCAAAGCAGGCCUUUGCUCGAAUACGUUAGCAUGGAAUAAUAGAAUAGGACGUGCGAUCCUAUUUUGUUGGUUUCUAGGACCGCCGUAAUGAUUAAUAGGGAUAGUCGGGGGCAUCAGUAUUCAAUUGUCA
RNAcentral lists this ribosomal RNA (794 nucleotides) under Amniculicola guttulata. RNAcentral's name for it is "SSU rRNA". It matches the Rfam family "Eukaryotic small subunit ribosomal RNA", at positions 103 to 907 of the family's 1831-position model. The record is from RNAcentral. Lineage: Eukaryota; Fungi; Ascomycota; Dothideomycetes; Pleosporales; Amniculicolaceae.